Molecule: ribosomal RNA, 253 nt
Filed under: uncultured bacterium
Lineage: Bacteria
Description: partial 16S ribosomal RNA
Rfam family: Bacterial small subunit ribosomal RNA
Source: RNAcentral
UACGUAGGGUGCAAGCGUUAAUCGGAAUUACUGGGCGUAAAGCGUGCGCAGGCGGUCCGCUAAGACAGAUGUGAAAUCCCCGGGCUUAACCUGGGAACUGCAUUUGUGACUGGCGGGCUAGAGUAUGGCAGAGGGGGGUAGAAUUCCACGUGUAGCAGUGAAAUGCGUAGAGAUGUGGAGGAACACCGAUGGCGAAGGCAGCCCCCUGGGCUGACACUGACGCUCAGGCACGAAAGCGUGGGGAGCAAACAGG